This 433-nucleotide ribosomal RNA is filed under the name uncultured bacterium. RNAcentral describes it as "partial 16S ribosomal RNA". It matches the Rfam family "Bacterial small subunit ribosomal RNA", at positions 29 to 507 of the family's 1533-position model. The record is from RNAcentral.
AGCGAACGCUGGCGGCAGGCCUAACACAUGCAAGUCGAACGAACACUUCGGAGUUAGUGGCGGACGGGUGCGUAACACGUGGGAACGUGCCUUUUGGUUCGGAAUAACUCAGGGAAACUUGUGCUAAUACCGAAUGUGCCCUUCGGGGGAAAGAUUUAUCGCCAUUAGAGCGGCCCGCGUCUGAUUAGCUAGUUGGUGAGGUAACGGCUCACCAAGGCGACGAUCAGUAGCUGGUCUGAGAGGAUGACCAGCCACACUGGGACUGAGACACGGCCCAGACUCCUACGGGAGGCAGCAGUGGGGAAUCUUGCGCAAUGGGCGAAAGCCUGACGCAGCCAUGCCGCGUGAAUGAUGAAGGUCUUAGGAUUGUAAAAUUCUUUCACCGGGGACGAUAAUGACGGUACCCGGAGAAGAAGCCCCGGCUAACUUCGUG